UGCGCUAUCAGAUGAGCCUAGGUCGGAUUAGCUAGUUGGUGAGGUAAUGGCUCACCAAGGCGACGAUCCGUAACUGGUCUGGGAGGAUGAUCAGUCACACUGGAAGGGAGACACGGUCCAGACUCCUACGGGAGGCAGCAGUGGGGAAUAUUGGACAAUGGGCGAAAGCCUGAUCUAUAGAGGCCGCGUGUGUGAAGAAGGUCUUCGGAUGUACAUUUAUGGGAGUUGGAGGAAGGGCAGUUACCUAAUACGUGA
RNAcentral lists this ribosomal RNA (255 nucleotides) under uncultured bacterium. RNAcentral describes it as "partial 16S ribosomal RNA". It matches the Rfam family "Bacterial small subunit ribosomal RNA", at positions 214 to 477 of the family's 1533-position model. The record is from RNAcentral.